Molecule: non-coding RNA, 136 nt
Organism: Triticum urartu
Lineage: Eukaryota; Viridiplantae; Streptophyta; Magnoliopsida; Poales; Poaceae
Source: Rfam
AUUCUACUCCCUCCGUUGCACAAUACAUGCCUUCUAUUUGUCAAAAUAUACAUGUAUCUAGACAUGUCUUAGUAUAUAGGUACAUCCAUUUUUGGACAAAUGGAAGUCAAGUAUUUUGGAACGGAGGGAGUACACA